Bifidobacterium actinocoloniiforme DSM 22766 is the source of this 976-nucleotide ribosomal RNA. It matches the Rfam family "Bacterial small subunit ribosomal RNA", at positions 1 to 985 of the family's 1533-position model. Lineage: Bacteria; Bacillati; Actinomycetota; Actinomycetes; Bifidobacteriales; Bifidobacteriaceae. The record is from Rfam.
UUUGUGGAGGGUUUGAUUCUGGCUCAGGAUGAACGCUGGCGGCGUGCUUAACACAUGCAAGUCGAACGGGAUCCAAGCAGCUUGCUGUUUGGUGAGAGUGGCGAACGGGUGAGUAAUGCGUGACUAACCUGCCCUGUACUUUGGAAUAGCUCCUGGAAACGGGUGGUAAUGCCGAAUGCUCCGCGCUAUCGCAUGGUGGCGUGGGAAAGGGUUUCUGGUAUGGGAUGGGGUCGCGUCCUAUCAGCUUGUUGGUGGGGUGAUGGCCUACCAAGGCUUCGACGGGUAGCCGGCCUGAGAGGGUGACCGGCCACAUUGGGACUGAGAUACGGCCCAGACUCCUACGGGAGGCAGCAGUGGGGAAUAUUGCACAAUGGGCGCAAGCCUGAUGCAGCGACGCCGCGUGCGGGAUGACGGCCUUCGGGUUGUAAACCGCUUUUAGCAGGGAGCAAGCCUUCGGGUGAGUGUACUUGUUGAAUAAGCGCCGGCUAACUACGUGCCAGCAGCCGCGGUAAUACGUAGGGCGCAAGCGUUAUCCGGAUUUAUUGGGCGUAAAGGGCUCGUAGGCGGUUUGUCGCGUCUGGUGUGAAAGUCCACUGCUUAACGGUGGAUCGGCGCCGGGUACGGGCAGGCUGGAGUGCGGCAGGGGAGACUGGAAUUCCCGGUGUAACGGUGGAAUGUGUAGAUAUCGGGAAGAACACCGAUGGCGAAGGCAGGUCUCUGGGCCGUCACUGACGCUGAGGAGCGAAAGCGUGGGGAGCGAACAGGAUUAGAUACCCUGGUAGUCCACGCCGUAAACGGUGGAUGCUGGAUGUGGGGCCCGUUCCGCGGGUUCCGUGUCGGAGCUAACGCGUUAAGCAUCCCGCCUGGGGAGUACGGCCGCAAGGCUAAAACUCAAAGAAAUUGACGGGGGCCCGCACAAGCGGCGGAGCAUGCGGAUUAAUUCGAUGCAACGCGAAGAACCUUACCUGGGCUUGAC